This 917-nucleotide ribosomal RNA is filed under the name uncultured archaeon. Its description in RNAcentral is "bacterial SSU rRNA". It matches the Rfam family "Archaeal small subunit ribosomal RNA", at positions 1 to 924 of the family's 1478-position model. The record is from RNAcentral.
UUCCGGUUGAUCCUGCCGGAGGUCACUGCUAUUGGGAUUCGACUAAGCCAUGCGAGUCGAGAGGGUUCGGCCCUCGGCUGACGGCUCAGUAACACGUGGAUAAUCUGCCCUAAGGUGGAGGAUACCCUCGGGAAACUGAGAAUAAUACUCCAUAGGCCUAGGAUGCUGGAAUGCACUUAGGCUAAAAGCUCCGGCGCCCUAGGAUGAGUCUGCGGACUAUCAGGUUGUAGUCAGGGUAAAGACCUGACUAGCCUACGACGGAUACGGGUUGUGAGAGCAAUAACCCGGAGAUGAUAUCUGAGACACGAUAUCAGGCCCUACGGGGCGCAGCAGGCGCGAAAACUUCACAAUGUGCGAAAGCACGAUGAGGGAAUCCCAAGUGCUUGCUCGUAAGAGUAAGCUGUUUCUAUGUUUAAAACGCAUGGAGAGUAAGGGCUGGGUAAGACGGGUGCCAGCCGCCGCGGUAAUACCUGCAGCUCUAGUGGUGACCGCUAUUAUUGGGCCUAAAACGUCCGUAGCCGGUUUAAUAAAUGCCUGGGUAAAUCGUGUAGCUUAACUAUACGAAUUCCGGGUAGACUGUUAAACUUGAGACCGGGAGGAGUUAGAGGUACUCCUGGGGUAGAGGUGAAAUUCUGUAAUCCUAGGGGGACCACCAGUGGCGAAGGCGUCUGACUAGAACGGGUCUGACGGUGAGGGACGAAGCCCUGGGGCGCAAACCGGAUUAGAUACCCGGGUAGUCCAGGGUGUAAACGCUGCUUGCUUGAUGUUAGUCGGGCUCCGAGCCCGAUUAGUGUCGGAGAGAAGUUGUUAAGCAAGCUGCCUGGGAAGUACGGUCGCAAGGCUGAAACUUAAAGGAAUUGGGCGGGGGAGCACAGCAACGGGUGGAGCGUGCGGUUUAAUUGGAUCAACGCGGAAUC